UUUGUUCUUUGUUCUUUAAUCUCACGGCUAACCCGGGGGUUUCGUCACAUUAACUUGCUUCACAUUAAGUCCAUCAUCACAGGAACUCACCAGCUAGGACCGUCCUUACGGGUCUACUCCAACCCGGAUGCCAAACUCCGGAGCGCAUCGCCCGAGGGGGAGCGACCGCCCUCGAGCACGGAACUCAUAGCAAGUAUGAUCAAUCCUUAACUCUAAGGAUAUGUUGUUGGAUCAUGGUUUUACACUAACUCUAGUGUUCUUUACAUCACUUUAUGUUGCCACUCUAGCAAUCAUUGUUCUUUACAUUUCUUUUACUUUUGCUAACUCUAGCAAUCACGUUUUUCACAUUCCUUUACUUUAAGCUAUCUUUAGCUUUCACAUUCUUUAACUUUACACGUUCUUUACGCCACAUUACAUUACAUUGUCUCUAGCCAUUAUCAUUAUUCUUUACACUUUGCUUCUUCUUUAUGCCACAUUACUUUACAUUGCCUCUAGCCAUUAUCAUUGUUCUUUACAUCACAUUGCUUUGCCUUGUCUCAAGCCAUUAUCAUUAGGUUCUCACAUUACAUCUCAUGCAUACACAUAGAUUAUUUAGAUUCUUAAUCAUUCUAAUAAGCACGUGUACUCACAUCAUGCAACAUUACAUUAUUAUCAUCACAUUGUCUUACAUUAUCUUUAGCCAUUAUCAUUAUUCUUUACAUCACAUUUAUUCUUUGAUGUCCCACACUAACUCUAGUGUCCACUUUACCAUUUCGAAUGCCACUCGAUCUAUGUUCAACAUGCAUAUAUUUGUCAUCCAUUGGUAGUCAUUACUUAGCAUUUUAUGCAUUCGUUAACAUUUACUACAUGCAUUCUCGGUUAGUACAAAUCUCAUACUUUCAUUUGACAUCUAUUUAGCAUUUCUAUAAUAUGCACAUAUAAAUUAACAUCAACUCAUGCAUUCAUUUGGCAUCUAUCUUUAUCAUGCAUUCUUAAUUAGCAUACUUUAUCAUGCAUUCUCAAAUAGCAUACUUUAAUCUUUAUCAUGCAUUCUUAAACAGCAUACUUUAUCAUGCAUCAAUAGUAAACAUACUACACUUUAGCAUGGAAAGCGACCUAAUCGCUUCGGUGAGCACAACCCACCUCAUUUCGCAUUCCGAUUGCUUGUCGACAUUUGCAAUCGGCCUCCCGCGGCACCCGGCACCCGGUUUGGCCCGAUCUC
Molecule: long non-coding RNA, 1201 nt
Filed under: Ananas comosus (pineapple)
Lineage: Eukaryota; Viridiplantae; Streptophyta; Magnoliopsida; Poales; Bromeliaceae
Description: long non-coding RNA (ACOM_LNC042063)
Source: RNAcentral